AAAGCAACGGAUCUAAUAAAAAAGGAACACGAGGGAGGAAAAGAAAAAAAACGCAGAAAUUUCCUCUGCAAAACCCACAACAAGGUUGACGUUUCAGCCUACUUUCCUCCAGAAUCGUUGCUGCCACACACCUGGUUCAACUGGCAAUCUCGCUCAAAGCUGCUUCCAUCUGGUUUUUGCUCACACAAAUCCAGUCCAGAAGCAUUUCCAGGAUUUUACGAGGACGCAGUAUUUGAUCCCCAAUCCAAUAUCUGGACUUCACUCUGGGUUCUGGAAACUGAAAGCUGGACACUUAUUUAUGUUUUCCUUUUGGGUUGUACUUGAACCCUAUGACUUAUUCUGUGGGCUGUAACGUGUUAUUUGGGAUAAUGUAUUUUCCUUUUUGGAUUGCCACUUGAAG
Coffea eugenioides is the source of this 400-nucleotide long non-coding RNA. RefSeq lists it as uncharacterized. Lineage: Eukaryota; Viridiplantae; Streptophyta; Magnoliopsida; Gentianales; Rubiaceae. The transcript has 3 exons. The record is from RefSeq and is a predicted model, not a curated record.